CCUUUGACGUUAGCGGCGGACGGGUGAGUAACACGUGGGUAACCUACCUAUAAGACUGGGAUAACUUCGGGAAACCGGAGCUAAUACCGGAUAAUAUUUCGAACCGCAUGGUUCGAUAGUGAAAGGUGGUUUUGCUAUCACUUAUAGAUGGACCCGCGCCGUAUUAGCUAGUUGGUAAGGUAACGGCUUACCAAGGCGACGAUACGUAGCCUACCUGAGAGGGUGAUCGGCCACACUGGAACUGAGACACGGUCCAGACUCCUACGGGAGGCAGCAGCA
This 279-nucleotide ribosomal RNA is filed under the name uncultured Staphylococcus sp. RNAcentral describes it as "partial 16S ribosomal RNA". It matches the Rfam family "Bacterial small subunit ribosomal RNA", at positions 83 to 355 of the family's 1533-position model. Lineage: Bacteria; Bacillati; Bacillota; Bacilli; Caryophanales; Staphylococcaceae. The record is from RNAcentral.